Molecule: long non-coding RNA, 595 nt
Organism: Bactrocera oleae (olive fruit fly)
Lineage: Eukaryota; Metazoa; Arthropoda; Insecta; Diptera; Tephritidae
Source: RefSeq, a predicted model, not a curated record
UUUCAAUGAGACCUUCAAAUGUUCAAAAGGUGAUAAGCAACAGCAGUUUCUUCGCAUGUAAACAACUUGUAGAAGUGGCGAGAAUUAGUCUAAUUUCCAACAGGCGUCUGUGGAGAUCGCUUUUCACUCAGUAAUUUCGGAAUGUCAGUUAUUGGUACGGAAAUGGAUUUCGAGUCUACAAUUUGGUUUAGUCUCCUGCUAAUUGUUAUUUUGCUUGCGAUAUUUGCUUAUUGGUUUUGGUGCAUAUGGCGGCCAAACCAGGUCAUACGCAAUGUGAUACGAAAAUCAACAGCACAAUGUGAUGAAAACGAAGAAGUAUACAACGAAUUAUUAUGUGAUUGAAGUUUUUUCAUUAAAGUAAAUAGUAUAUAAGACAUAUAAGUCAGAUUUCUGAAGAAUAAGAAUAAUCGAAACGUGCAAUUUGGUGGUUUGGGAAACACUGCAUUUUAUCAGCAUGUGCGCACUUUGCCGACCAUCAGCGCUUACUUUUCUCCACUUUAUGCUUUAUCAUAUAAUAAAAAAAAAUGAAAUUGCGACCGGCACGCACAGCCUGCUAGCAAUUAUACAUAAAUAAAUGAAAGUUUUAGUAAUUUGA